AGGUGGGGCUACUGUUUCAGGGCCCGCCCUUGUCCCCUGGCAACAGCAGGACCCUCAUCUGUGGCAAGCAUCCAAGGACACCCUCGGUGUAUUUGAGGAGGACUGGCCAGUUAUUCAGCGAACACUGGUCUUACUGUAAGCUCGGCUGUGUCCAUUUAAAGCCUACCAAAAGGGACCAACUGCAACAAAGAGGGUGCAGUAGAGCCCGUGGAUACCAGAUGUCUCCUGACUAAGCAGGGGGUUAGUGGAGGCGGCCUGCGUUUCCUCAAAUCUGCACCUGUUUAGUUACAACCACCAACUUUAUAAGAGGAAAUUGCCUACGUGCCUGGCGGCUGAAGGACAGAAUUAGCAGUACUCUUAACGUGUGAACACAGCAGUGCCUCCUGUGCAGCUCUGGACCACAGCGUUGCAAGACUGGGGCCUCCUGAGGGCAGAAAACUGUCAAGUCCUCCUUUGCCCUUUGGUAAAAUAGUCUUUCCCAAAUUAGGGCUCAGUAUAAAGCUUUCCUGUUCAUGUUC
This is a long non-coding RNA of Suricata suricatta (meerkat), 518 nucleotides long. RefSeq lists it as uncharacterized. The transcript has 3 exons. Lineage: Eukaryota; Metazoa; Chordata; Mammalia; Carnivora; Herpestidae. The record is from RefSeq and is a predicted model, not a curated record.